This 484-nucleotide ribosomal RNA is filed under the name uncultured bacterium. Its description in RNAcentral is "partial 16S ribosomal RNA". It matches the Rfam family "Bacterial small subunit ribosomal RNA", at positions 28 to 523 of the family's 1533-position model. The record is from RNAcentral.
GACGAACGCUGGCGGCGUGCUUAACACAUGCAAGUCGAACGAUGAUGCUGGAGCUUGCUCCAGUUGAUUAGUGGCGAACGGGUGAGUAACACGUGAGCAAUCUGCCCUUGACUCUGGGAUAACUGCGGGAAACUGUAGCUAAUACCGGAUACUUUCACCGGGGGGCAUCCUCUGGCGAUGAAAGAAUUUCGGUCAAGGAUGAGCUCGCGGCCUAUCAGCUUGUUGGUGAGGUAACGGCUCACCAAGGCGACGACGGGUAACCGGCCUGAGAGGAUAACCGGUCACACUGGGACUGAGACACGGCCCAGACUCCUACGGGAGGCAGCAGUGGGGAAUAUUGCACAAUGGGCGCAAGCCUGAUGCAGCAACGCCGCGUGAGGGAUGUAGGCCUUCGGGUUGUAAACCUCUUUUAGCAGGGAAGAAGCGAAAGUGACGGUGCCUGCAGAAAAAGCACCGGCUAACUACGUGCCAGCAGCCGCCGUAA